This is a long non-coding RNA of Phyllostomus discolor (pale spear-nosed bat), 442 nucleotides long. RefSeq lists it as uncharacterized. NCBI's taxonomy places the organism in Eukaryota, Metazoa, Chordata, Mammalia, Chiroptera, Phyllostomidae. The transcript is spliced from 2 exons. The record is from RefSeq and is a predicted model, not a curated record.
AUGCUCCUGUUUAUUGCAGGGGGAGGGGACGGUAUAAGAAUAGCUUUAUUGCACAACAAAGAGAAAUCAAGUGAGACAUUAUACUACUAAAUGUAUGUGGUCACAAUGAGAAUUUCCAUUUUUCUAAGUGGCACAAUUAGCAGAUGCUCAUAAAGUCUUCAGUAGAUCAUACCAUUUGACAUAAGACACAAAUUGCUCAACACUGACUCUAUUUAAUUUUGCUUUACCCCACUCUGCUCAGAGGCAGCUGAACCAAGGGACCCGCUAUAUCCCAUUUCAUGUUAUCAGGCUUUUAUUUCUCUGUUUGCUUCUCUGUACUAUGGACCUUUACAGCUGCUCACUGCACUCUCUAAACAUGGGAAGUAAAUACUAUUUUUGAACUCCCGCCAGUUGCAACAUACUAUGAGGUGCACUUAACAUACGUAAAGAUAAAUGUUGUAAC